RNAcentral lists this ribosomal RNA (900 nucleotides) under epibiont metagenome. RNAcentral's name for it is "bacterial SSU rRNA". It matches the Rfam family "Bacterial small subunit ribosomal RNA", at positions 483 to 1384 of the family's 1533-position model. The record is from RNAcentral.
UGAAUAAGCCCCGGCUAACUCCGUGCCAGCAGCCGCGGUAAUACGGAGGGGUGCAAGCGUUACUCGGAAUCCCUGGGCGUAAAGCGCAUGUAGGCGGUUAAUUAAGUUAGAAGUGAAAGCCCACAGCUUAACUGUGGACAGCUUCUAAAACUGAUUAACUAGAGUCUGGGAGAGGAAGAUGGAAUUAGUAGUGUAGGGUAAAAUCCGUAGAGAUUACUAGGAAUACCGAAAGCGAAGGCGAUCUUCUGGAACAGUACUGACGCUGAGAUGCGAAAGCGUGGGGAGCAAACAGGAUUAGAUACCCUGGUAGUCCACGCCCUAAACGAUGAAUGUUAGUCGUUGGAGUGCUAGCCACUUCAGUGAUGCAGCUAACGCAUUAAACAUUCCGCCUGGGGAGUACGGCCGCAAGGUUAAAACUCAAAGGAAUAGACGGGGACCCGCACAAGUGGUGGAGCAUGUGGUUUAAUUCGAAGAUACGCGAAGAACCUUACCUGGCCUUGACAUAUACCAGAACCUGCCAGAGAUGGUGGGGUGCCUUCGGGAACUGGUAUACAGGUGCUGCACGGCUGUCGUCAGCUCGUGUCGUGAGAUGUUGGGUUAAGUCCCGCAACGAGCGCAACCCUCGUGACUAGUUACUAACAGCAUAGGCUGAGGACUCUAGUCAGACUGCCUUCGUAAGGAGGAGGAAGGUGGGGACGACGUCAAGUCAUCAUGGCCCUUACGGCCAGGGCGACACACGUGCUACAAUGGGGAGGACAAUGAGAAGCGAAAUCGCGAGAUGGAGCAAAUCUAUAAACCUUCUCUCAGUUCGGAUUGUAGUCUGCAACUCGACUACAUGAAGCUGGAAUCACUAGUAAUCGUGAAUCAGCCAUGUCACGGUGAAUACGUUCCCGGUCUUGU